CCCUUAGAUGUUCUGGGCAGCACGCGCGCUACAAUGGUCUUCGCAAACGGAUGCAUUCUCGAAGGAGAAUGCCAAUCUUGGAAUCUAUGCCUUGGUCGGGACAGUUGCUUGCAAUUUUUCGACUCGAACCAGGAAUUCCUUGUAAUCGUGAUUCAUCACAUCACGAUGAAUACGUCCCUGCCCUUUGUACACACCGCCCGUCGCUCCUACCGAUCGAAGAGUUAGGUGAAUUGUUUUGAUCGAUAAGAUUUGACUAUGGUCAACUCUCGUUGUGAAAUUCUGUGAAUCUGACUGUUGAGAGGAAGGAAAAGUCGGAACA
RNAcentral lists this ribosomal RNA (319 nucleotides) under uncultured eukaryote. Its description in RNAcentral is "partial 18S ribosomal RNA". It matches the Rfam family "Eukaryotic small subunit ribosomal RNA", at positions 1470 to 1796 of the family's 1831-position model. The record is from RNAcentral.